GCGCCGGUAGCUCAGUUGGUAGAGCACUCCCCUUUUAAGGGAGCUGUCAUGAGUUCGAGCCUCAUCCGGCGUACCA
Molecule: transfer RNA, 76 nt
Filed under: Rickettsiales bacterium TMED127
Lineage: Bacteria; Pseudomonadati; Pseudomonadota; Alphaproteobacteria; Rickettsiales
Also listed under: 2 other names
Description: tRNA-Lys
Rfam family: tRNA
About the family: Transfer RNA (tRNA) molecules are approximately 80 nucleotides in length.
Source: RNAcentral